Molecule: non-coding RNA, 70 nt
Organism: Dipodomys ordii (Ord's kangaroo rat)
Lineage: Eukaryota; Metazoa; Chordata; Mammalia; Rodentia; Heteromyidae
Source: Rfam
GGGAAGGUGGCUCAGUGGUAGAGCGCUCGCCUUGCAUGCUCGAGGCCCUGAGUUCGAUUCCUCAGCCCCA